RNAcentral lists this long non-coding RNA (849 nucleotides) under Homo sapiens (human). Its description in RNAcentral is "PYDC2 antisense RNA 1". The record is from RNAcentral. Lineage: Eukaryota; Metazoa; Chordata; Mammalia; Primates; Hominidae.
CUUCUCGUCUGUCGCCAUGUGAGAUGUACCUUUCACUUUCCUCCAUGAUUGUGAGGCCUCCUUAGCCACAUGGAACUUAUUUAAGUCAACAGAUGGAAGAGUGUCAUGGAAGGAAAUGCUGGAGUCCUUCAUCCGAAUGGUAAAUGGCACUUGUGACAAAAAUCAAAGUAACUAAAAAAGAAUCUGGUUGAAACCUCAGUAACAGUUGGCCUGUCUACUGCCUCACACUAACAAGGGGGAGCUAAUAAAACCGAGGUUAGAACACACAAUGUGGAAAUGAAAACCUUAUUCUUGUCAAUGGAUGGAGGGUGGUGACCCCCACCUUUACAAGUGUCUGUAAUUCUCACUAGCAGUAUAUUAGAGGGCAAAAGAUUUGAACAGACACAUCAGAAAAGAAGACAUACAAAUGGCCGCUAAGCACUUGAAAGGAUUCUGAACACCAUUAGUCAUCAGUGAAAUGCAAAUUAAAGCCAUAAUGAAUGGCGCUAUACAUUUUCAGAAUGGCAAGGAUUGAAGACCGAAAAAAAUCAAGCGUUGAGGAGAGUGACAAAUGGGGAGACAGCCGUGGUGCAUGAUCGCCGAAUAAAUACCAUGUGAGGAUACAGCAAGAAGGUGGCCAUCUACAAGCCAAGGAGACAGGCCUCAGAAGAAACCAACCCUUCUUACACCCUGGACUCAGACUUCUAAUCUCCAGAACUUGUUAAUGCACAAGGUCUUGUGUUGAAAAUGUAGAGCCACGAGAUAAAAGCAGCUUGGAUGGCUGACUCAUAUACAAGGACAACUGCCUGAGAGUCACCAGGGCUAUCAAGAAGUUUGCAGAAACAAGAAAUAAACUUUUACUGUUUUAAA